RNAcentral lists this long non-coding RNA (1571 nucleotides) under Marmota monax (woodchuck). The record is from RNAcentral. Lineage: Eukaryota; Metazoa; Chordata; Mammalia; Rodentia; Sciuridae.
AAAGACUUCUUUCUGUGUUUUAGACUGUACAUAGGUUUAUGAUUUACUUUUUUAAAAAAAAUAUUUUUUUAAGUUGUAGUUGGAUAGAAUACCUUUAUUUUAUUUAUUUAUUUUUAUGUGGUGCUGAGGAUCAAACCUAGUGCCUUGCACAUGCUAGGUGAUUAUUCUCUCACGGAGCCACAUCCACAGCCUUUAUGAUUUACUUUGAAUUAACUUUUGUACAUGAUUUGAAGCAUGGAUUCAAGUUUAUAUUUGUUGCAAAUAGAUAAUUAUUCCAGAAAUAGUUGUUGAAAGACUAUUAUUUUUCUACUGGGUUGCCUCAGGGGUUUUGUCAAAAAUUAGUUGUCCAUUUUAUAUUUAUUCAACUUCAAAUCGAUGUCAGACAAUGUGCUAGCAAUGAAGAUAUGUAUCAUUAAGUGUUUUUUGGUUGCAAAGACUAGAGACAAAUAUUUCCAACUCAAAUAAAAUAAUACACUUAUUGGAAGGAUGUAAAGUAUAAUAGAAUUAAAGGAAAAGCUGAAAAUCAGUUGUUGGCUACUUUCACUGAUAAACGGGGGUAGGUAAUUUCCCAAAGGAUAAUGAGGCCCUAUCAACAGAAGAAGAGAAAAUUGUGGUAGGUGUCUGCUACAACAGUGCUUCUUAACAUUUUUUCCCCAUACCAACACAUGAUAAACGAUAAGAAUUGAGCAGUUUGUGAGGAUAAACUGAUGAAUAUUAGCAAGUGUCUGUAUGAGGUGUGAUAAAAAUUUCAUUAUUAUUCAUUAUAUUAUGUAAUUUUAAGAAUAAAGCAAAAUAUCAGGGAAGAUAUAGAAUAUUGAAUUAUGUAAAACUUCUCAAUAAGGUAUUAAAUUUAUUGAAGAACUUUCACUUUUUUUCUAUUAUAUGAUAUUUCAGACCUUUUCUCAAAAAUAAUUAUAAUAUACUUAAGGAAAAGUACAAUGCAGCUCAGUGAGUUUUCACAAAGUGAGUAUACAUGUGUUCCAUUUCUGCAUACUUGCAUAACAAAUCACCUCAAAAUGUACAUGCUUAAAAUUGAAGCAUUUCUUUUCUUCAUGAAUUUACAGUUUAAAUAGGAUUCAGAUUGGGUAGCUCGAAGGCCAGGAGACUGGAAAUAUCUGCAGUCUCCUUCACUUAUACGUCUGGCUAUUAAUGCUACCUGUUGCUGAAACUUUAGUUGUCUGUGAGCAGAAUACCUAUGCGUGGCCUUUCCAUGUGACUUUCUGUCUACAUGGUGAUUGAGUACUAAGGUUCAGUGUCCCAAGAAACAGGUAGAAGGCCCAUGUAGAAGCUCUAGUAUCUUUUUAAACCUAGAAUUGAAAGUUAUGCAAUGUCACUUCCACUGCAUUGUGUGUGUGUGUGUGUGCGCACGCACGUUUGCAUGCAUGCAUGGUACUGGGGAUCAAACAUGACCUCACAUGCUAGGCCAGCAUUCUACCACUGAGUUACACUCCUAGCAUUAAAGCAUUCUUUUUGCUAGAGGUCAGUCACUAAGGCCAGCCCAAGUACAAAGGGGAGAAGGAGAGCUUUAUCUUUUGAUAGGAAGCAUUUCAAUGAAUCCAUGGAUAUGUUUU